RNAcentral lists this transfer RNA (26 nucleotides) under Marmota monax (woodchuck). RNAcentral describes it as "partial tRNA-Arg". The record is from RNAcentral. Lineage: Eukaryota; Metazoa; Chordata; Mammalia; Rodentia; Sciuridae.
AAUUAUGGGCUGCCAUAAUUAUCAAA